RNAcentral lists this ribosomal RNA (942 nucleotides) under Triticum aestivum (bread wheat). RNAcentral's name for it is "partial small subunit ribosomal RNA". The record is from RNAcentral. Lineage: Eukaryota; Viridiplantae; Streptophyta; Magnoliopsida; Poales; Poaceae.
AUGUUUGAUCUUCAUGCUGCAGUUCUAUGGUGCAUUCACGAUUACCCAGCUCUGAGCACUCUUUCAGGGCGUACCACAAGAGGCUAUGUUGCAUGUAUUCAUUGUGACAAACACCCUCUUUCCUACGGCCUAAGGCACAAAACUGGGUAUAUUGGGCAUUAUCGUUUCCUUCCAAAGGGACAUCGUUUGCGAAGAAAUAAUGAAUUUGUUGGUCUUCAUGAACGCAAUAAUGAGCUGGGUAAAUUCUCAAAGGAAGAGCUACAAGCAGAAUUGGAGAAGGUUAGACCUAGGCGACAAGAAGAAAGCAGGAAAAGAAAGCGUUCUGACUUGGGCAGCAAGAAGGCUCAUGUGCCAAUUUGGAGUCGGAGGGUUUGUUUGUGGGAUUUGGAUUAUUGGGAUAAAUUGAAGCUGAGACAUAAUCUUGAUGUCAUGCAUAUCGAGAAAAACAUUUGUGAAAACCUCAUUGGGACAAUUCUCAACAUGGAGGGGAAGACGAAGGACACACUUAAUGCUAGGCUUGAUCUCCAAGAUUUGAAUAUUAAAGAGGAGUUGCAUUUGAGGAAGGAUGGAAACUCAUAUGAGAUGCCUCAGGCCCGGUAUACCUUGUCUAAAGAACAAGUGGUUGCAUUUUGUCAAUUUUUACAAGAGUUAAAGUUUCCAGAUGGGUUUGCUUCCAACAUAUCCAGAUGUACAAGUGCUGAUGGAACCAAGGUCCAAGGCCUAAAAACACAUGAUUGUCACAUUCUUUUGCAAAGAAUCUUACCUGCUGGCAUGAGAGGAUUUCUGGAUAGUGAUAUAUAUGAAGCAAUAGCUGAGUUGGGCAACUUCUUCAGGGAACUGUGCAGCAAAACUCUUAACAGGGAUGUGUUGGCUGAAAUGAAGAAAGAAAUCCCUAUAAUUUUGCGCAAGCUUGAGAAAAAAUUUCCCUCCUGCUUUCUUUGA